AAGAAUGGUUGUCAGACCUCAGAAGAACUAAAACACUGGUCUGGCGUUCGCUUUACUGCUGACGCACUACCGGACGCGGACCUUUUCCCGGGGUGUGAUUGUGCGCAUACAGCCUUGCUCUGUAGGCCUCCCGGCGAAUCCAGUGACUAAUCAUCAGCGAGUGGAUCAAAGCCUGGAUUAAACAUGUGAACAUGGCUCUCUGUAUCUCCUGCAUUGCAAAGGCCCGCGCUCACUUCUGGAACUUUCCUUUGGCUUGGACCAAAGUUCAGGUCACUGCAUGGAGUCUGGCAGAGGCCAUGGUGCACGGCUCUGGCUGUGCACAGGUCAUUUCGAUGCACCCUCUCGCUCCCUCUCUCAUCACUUCAGAGAAGUCUUUGGAAAUAGUUUUCCUGGGCACAAAAACAGGGUGAAGGACUUGCAGCCUCCAUUGGAUCUUAUGGCACGGUGGUUCAUUUUGACCCUACUUGAGGGUCCUUCAGACCUCAAUGUUUUCAAUUAAAUUGGAAAACUACUCUGGGUGCCUAAGAGACCAUCCAGGUCUGAACCUCAGUUAUAGAGAAGGAGGCUGUUGGGAG
RNAcentral lists this long non-coding RNA (575 nucleotides) under Ailuropoda melanoleuca (giant panda). Its description in RNAcentral is "lncRNA (ENSAMEG00000027550.1)". Lineage: Eukaryota; Metazoa; Chordata; Mammalia; Carnivora; Ursidae. The record is from RNAcentral.